RNAcentral lists this ribosomal RNA (506 nucleotides) under uncultured bacterium. Its description in RNAcentral is "partial 16S ribosomal RNA". It matches the Rfam family "Bacterial small subunit ribosomal RNA", at positions 29 to 523 of the family's 1533-position model. The record is from RNAcentral.
AGUGAACGCUGGCGGUAGGCCUAACACAUGCAAGUCGAAAGGCAGCACAGGAGAGCUUGCUCUCUGGGUGGCGAGUGGCGGACGGGCGAGGAAUACAUCGGAAUCUACUUUUUCGUGGGGGAUAACGUAGGGAAACUUACGCUAACACCGCAUACGACCUACGGGUGAAAGCAGGGGACCUUCGGGCCUUGCGCGAUUGAAUGAGCCGAUGUCGGAUUAGCUAGUUGGCGGGGUAAAGGCCCACCAAGGCGACGAUCCGUAGCUGGUCUGAGAGGAUGAUCAGCUACACUGGAGCUGAGACACAGUCCAGGCUCCUACGAGAGGCAGCAGUGGGGAAUAUUGGACAAUGGGCGCAAGCCUGAUCCAGCCAUACCGCGUGGGUGAAGUAGGCCUUCGGGUUGUAAAGCCCUUUUGUUGGGAAAGAAAUCCAGCUGGCUAAUACCCGGUUGGGAUGACGGUACCCAAAGAAUAAGCACCGGCUAACUUCGUGCCAGCCGCCGCGGUAA